RNAcentral lists this ribosomal RNA (450 nucleotides) under uncultured bacterium. RNAcentral describes it as "bacterial SSU rRNA". It matches the Rfam family "Bacterial small subunit ribosomal RNA", at positions 30 to 483 of the family's 1533-position model. The record is from RNAcentral.
AUUGAACGCUGGCGGCAUGCCUUACACAUGCAAGUCGAACGGCAGCACGGGGGCAACCCUGGUGGCGAGUGGCGAACGGGUGAGUAAUACAUCGGAAUGUACCCAGUAGUGGGGGGAUAACUAGUCGAAAGAUUAGCUAAUACCGCAUACGCACUAUGGUGGAAAGCGGGGGAUCGCAAGACCUCGCGCUAUUGGAGCAGCCGAUGUCCGAUUAGGUAGUUGGUGGGGUAAAAGCCUACCAAGCCUGCGAUCGGUAACUGGUCUGAGAGGACGACCAGUCACACUGGGACUGAGACACGGCCCAGACUCCUACGGGAGGCAGCAGUGGGGAAUUUUGGACAAUGGGGGAAACCCUGAUCCAGCAAUGCCGCGUGUGUGACGAAGGCCUUCGGUUGUAAGCACUUUGGUCGGGUAACGAAACGGACGCUUCUAAUACAGAGUGCUAAUGAC